ACCCGGGUCCGGGCCCCUCUGGCGGUCGAGGCGUCGACCGUGAUGUCGGACCCCUUCU
Non-coding RNA from Methylobacterium sp. 4-46, 58 nucleotides. The record is from Rfam. NCBI's taxonomy places the organism in Bacteria, Pseudomonadati, Pseudomonadota, Alphaproteobacteria, Hyphomicrobiales, Methylobacteriaceae.